UGCCAGCCGCCGCGGUAAUACGGAGGGUGCAAGCGUUAAUCGGAAUUACUGGGCGUGAAGCGCGCGUAGGUGGUUUGGUAAGUCGGGUGUGAAAGCCCCGGGCUCAACCUGGGAACUGCAUUCGAUACUGCCUGACUAGAGUGUGGUAGAGGGAAGUGGAAUUCCGCAUGUAGCGGUGAAAUGCGUAGAGAUGCGGAGGAACACCAAUGGCGAAGGCAACUUCCUGGACCAACACUGACACUGAGGUGCGAAAGCGUGGGUAGCAAACAGGAUUAGAUA
Molecule: ribosomal RNA, 279 nt
Filed under: uncultured bacterium
Lineage: Bacteria
Description: partial 16S ribosomal RNA
Rfam family: Bacterial small subunit ribosomal RNA
Source: RNAcentral